Molecule: ribosomal RNA, 508 nt
Filed under: uncultured bacterium
Lineage: Bacteria
Description: bacterial SSU rRNA
Rfam family: Bacterial small subunit ribosomal RNA
Source: RNAcentral
GAUGAACGCUAGCGGCAGGCUUAACACAUGCAAGUCGAGGGGCAGCGCGAUGUAGCAAUACAUUGGCGGCGACCGGCGCACGGGUGCGUAACACGUAUGGAACUUACCCUUUACUGGGAGAUAGCCCGGAGAAAUCCGGAUUAAUAUCCCAUAAUAAACGAAGUGGCAUCACUUUGUUUUGAAAGCUCCGGCGGUAAAGGAUGGCCAUGCGCACGAUUAGCUAGUAGGUGAGGUAACGGCUCACCUAGGCUACGAUCGUUAGGGGGCCUGAGAGGGUUAUCCCCCANACUGGUACUGAGACACGGACCAGACUCCUACGGGAGGCAGCAGUGAGGAAUAUUGCGCAAUGGAGGCAACUCUGACGCCGCCAUGCCGCGUGCAGGAAGAAGGCGCUACGCGUUGUAAACUGCUUUUAACCGGGAAGAAACCCUCCGACGUGUCGGAGGUUGACGGUACCGGAGGAAUAAGCACCGGCUAACUUCGUGCCAGCAGCCGCGGUAAAGUCUAG